Carya illinoinensis is the source of this 816-nucleotide long non-coding RNA. RefSeq lists it as uncharacterized. The record is from RefSeq and is a predicted model, not a curated record. The transcript is spliced from 2 exons. Lineage: Eukaryota; Viridiplantae; Streptophyta; Magnoliopsida; Fagales; Juglandaceae.
UAGCUUAUGAAAUGACCAUUUAUACCUUAAGUAGAUAUAAACUUCAUGUUCUCCUAUAAGAAGCACUUAACUAAUGUGUACAUGAUUUGAUUAUUAUUUCUAUCAACUAUUGAGCUUACUAGUGUUUAAUUACAACUUAUAUGAGCUAUGACCCAUUAUUGCAGGAGUGAGGCCCAUGAGUAAACUAAGUAAAGGAAAAGAAAGGGGAAAGCUUAUGUGAGGAUCCGAAAAGAAGCAGGUGGUCAUAGGGGAAUAUCCAUUGAGCUGUUAUGCGUGAGAAGGAAGAAUGUCUGUUACUUAUGAAGGAGGAGAGGGGAUCCGUGGCAAGGAGAGAGAAAAUGGGGAAAAGAUUCGGGUAUAAGAGGAAAAGAAGAUUCAAACCAUGGGGGGAUUCAAUUUUAUUCUGCUGGAAUUUUUCCUAGUGCUUUACGGAAGACAUUUUUCGUAUUCUUCAUAGGGUAUAUACAGUGAAGGUUGAACAUGCAAAGGACACUAGAAGUUCAAAGGCCUGCUUUCCACCUAGAGAUUGAUGUUGAUCUGAUAAUGCAUCUUUUAUGGAGCUAUGUCACUGUAAUCUGUUUCUAUAAAAUGUAGGGUAUGGAACUGUAAUCGUUUUUUGUAUCUAAACUUGGUAUUUUGAUGUUUGUAGUGCUUUGGUUAUGGAUUAAGAUAAUUAUUUUGCUUUUAAGGAUAGAGGGAUGUGAAUGCCUUGAAGAAUUAUGGCUUAAAGAUGAGUUCCACGAUAAGAAGAAAGAACUGUAGAUUGUUCAAAGCCGAAUUUCCAGUUAAUGAAUGUAGUUUUGAAUGUUGAAUGUA